This 92-nucleotide transfer RNA is filed under the name Legionella sp. Its description in RNAcentral is "tRNA-Ser". It matches the Rfam family "tRNA". Rfam says of the family: Transfer RNA (tRNA) molecules are approximately 80 nucleotides in length. Their secondary structure includes four short double-helical elements and three loops (D, anti-codon, and T loops). Lineage: Bacteria; Pseudomonadati; Pseudomonadota; Gammaproteobacteria; Legionellales; Legionellaceae. The record is from RNAcentral.
GGAACGGUGUCUGAGUCUGGCUUAAGGAGUCCGCCUUGAAAGCGGAUGAGGGUGAAAGUCCUCCGUGGGUUCGAAUCCUACCUGUUCCGCCA